UUGUAGGUGUCUGGGCGAGCCUGAUGGAGCACGCCGCGUGAGUGAAGAAGGUUUUCGGAUCGUAAAACUCUGUUGUAAGGGAAGAACAAGUACAGUAGUAACUGGCUGUACCUUGACGGUACCUUAUUAGAAAGCCACGGCUAACUACGUGCCAGCAGCCGCGGUAAUACGUAGGUGGCAAGCGUUGUCCGGAAUUAUUGGGCGUAAAGCGCGCGCAGGCGGUCCUUUAAGUCUGAUGUGAAAGCCCACGGCUCAACCGUGGAGGGUCAUUGGAAACUGGGGGACUUGAGUGCAGAAGAGGAAAGUGGAAUUCCAAGUGUAGCGGUGAAAUGCGUAGAGAUUUGGAGGAACACCAGUGGCGAAGGCGACUUUCUGGUCUGUAACUGACGCUGAGGCGCGAAAGCGUGGGGAGCAAACAGGAUUAGAUACCCCGGUAGUCA
This 440-nucleotide ribosomal RNA is filed under the name Lysinibacillus sp. RNAcentral describes it as "bacterial SSU rRNA". It matches the Rfam family "Bacterial small subunit ribosomal RNA", at positions 357 to 796 of the family's 1533-position model. Lineage: Bacteria; Bacillati; Bacillota; Bacilli; Caryophanales; Bacillaceae. The record is from RNAcentral.